Molecule: ribosomal RNA, 464 nt
Filed under: uncultured bacterium
Lineage: Bacteria
Description: partial 16S ribosomal RNA
Rfam family: Bacterial small subunit ribosomal RNA
Source: RNAcentral
CUACGGGCUGCACCAGUGGGGAAUAUUGCACAAUGGGCGCAAGCCUGAUGCAGCCAUGCCGCGUGUAUGAAGAAGGCCUUCGGGUUGUAAAGUACUUUCAGCGGGGAGGAAGGUAGUAAAGUUAAUACCUUUGCCCAUUGACGUUACCCGCAGAAGAAGCACCGGCUAACUCCGUGCCAGCAGCCGCGGUAAUACGGAGGGUGCAAGCGUUAAUCGGAAUUACUGGGCGUAAGGCGCACGCAGGCGGUUUGUUAAGUCAGAUGUGAAAUCCCCGGGCUCAACCUGGGAACUGCAUCUGAUACUGGCAAGCUUGAGUCUCGGAGAGGGGGGUAGAAUUCCAGGUGUAGCGGUGAAAUGCGUAGAGAUCUGGAGGAAUACCGGUGGCGAAGGCGGCCCCCUGGACGAAGACUGACGCUCAGGUGCGAAAGCGUGGGGAGCAAACAGGAUUAGAUACCCCCGUAGUC